UGUGUAUGUGUAUAUAUAUACUUAGAUCAUAUGUAUUAAGGCAGUUUUGCCUGUAUUUGUGGGAGGGGCUUAAAUUAAUUCACUCACCUAUAUAAGGGACACCCCUUACCUGACUCAUAUCGCUUGAGGUCAGCAUCAGAAUGAUUUCCACUUCCGGGUCAUCCAGACGCCAUUUUACCUGAUUACUCCAUGAGGUUUUCUAAGCAGAGCUGUGUC
Non-coding RNA from Pelobates cultripes (western spadefoot toad), 216 nucleotides. The record is from the annotation of a GenBank genome assembly. Lineage: Eukaryota; Metazoa; Chordata; Amphibia; Anura; Pelobatidae.